RNAcentral lists this ribosomal RNA (433 nucleotides) under uncultured bacterium. RNAcentral's name for it is "partial 16S ribosomal RNA". It matches the Rfam family "Bacterial small subunit ribosomal RNA", at positions 29 to 507 of the family's 1533-position model. The record is from RNAcentral.
AACGAACGCUGGCGGCAUGCCUAACACAUGCAAGUCGAACGAAGGCUUCGGCCUUAGUGGCGCACGGGUGCGUAACGCGUGGGAAUCUGCCCUUUGGUUCGGAAUAACAGCUGGAAACGGCUGCUAAUACCGGAUGAUGACGAAAGUCCAAAGAUUUAUCGCCAGAGGAUGAGCCCGCGUUGGAUUAGGUAGUUGGUGGGGUAAAGGCCUACCAAGCCGACGAUCCAUAGCUGGUCUGAGAGGAUGAUCAGCCACACUGGGACUGAGACACGGCCCAGACUCCUACGGGAGGCAGCAGUGGAGAAUAUUGGACAAUGGGCGCAAGCCUGAUCCAGCAAUGCCGCGUGAGUGAUGAAGGCCCUAGGGUUGUAAAUCUCUUUUACCCGGGAAGAUAAUGACGGUACCGGGAGAAUAAGCCCCGGCUAACUCCGUG